UCUCAUCUCAGAUGGUAAAGAAUCUGCCUGCAGUGCAGAAGACCUGGGUUCAAAACCUAGAUUGGGAA
RNAcentral lists this transfer RNA (68 nucleotides) under Ovis aries (sheep). It matches the Rfam family "tRNA". Rfam says of the family: Transfer RNA (tRNA) molecules are approximately 80 nucleotides in length. Their secondary structure includes four short double-helical elements and three loops (D, anti-codon, and T loops). Lineage: Eukaryota; Metazoa; Chordata; Mammalia; Artiodactyla; Bovidae. The record is from Rfam by way of RNAcentral.